RNAcentral lists this small RNA (26 nucleotides) under Arabidopsis thaliana (thale cress). Its description in RNAcentral is "ATSL187160". Lineage: Eukaryota; Viridiplantae; Streptophyta; Magnoliopsida; Brassicales; Brassicaceae. The record is from RNAcentral.
UCAUAAGAAACAGAACAACAAGUAAA